Molecule: ribosomal RNA, 253 nt
Filed under: uncultured bacterium
Lineage: Bacteria
Description: partial 16S ribosomal RNA
Rfam family: Bacterial small subunit ribosomal RNA
Source: RNAcentral
UACGUAGGGACCAAGCGUUGUUCGGAUUUACUGGGCGUAAAGGGCGCGUAGGCGGCAAUUCAAGUCAUCUGUGAAAUCUCCGGGCUUAACUCGGAACGGUCAGAUGAUACUGCUUUGCUAGAGUGCGGAAGGGGCAAUCGGAAUUCUCGGUGUAGCGGUGAAAUGCGUAGAGAUGUGGAGGAACACCAGUGGCGAAGGCGACUCUUUGGCCUGUAACUGACGCUGAGGCGCGAAAGCGUGGGGAGCAAACAGG